This is a non-coding RNA of Peromyscus maniculatus bairdii (prairie deer mouse), 712 nucleotides long. NCBI's taxonomy places the organism in Eukaryota, Metazoa, Chordata, Mammalia, Rodentia, Cricetidae. The record is from RefSeq and is a predicted model, not a curated record.
GCCUAAGGAUAUGGGGGGGCGGGGGGGGGCGGGGCUGGAGAACUACCAGCUCCUGAGUCCAUAGGUGCCCCACCACGCUGUCCCCAGGGGCCUCUGGGCACAAGUCGCGCACACUUGCUUUGCUUCGCAGCCUCUCUCUCUUGCUUGCUUUUUUUUUUUUUGGAUGGUGAGAGUCGAAAGGCAAAGGGCACUGGUGGCUGGAAAGAGAAGGAAAGGAGGCAAGAAGCAGGGUGAGUAGUGUGGGGUGGGUCUGUCUCUCCAGAGGGCGCAGGAGCUCAGAGUCUGGGUGACAGCUAACCACAACAGAAACAAAGUAUUGCAGAGAAUGUGGAUGGAAUGCCCAUGUGUUACUGGGGAGAAUGUCACUCAGUUACAGUUUCUGCAACAAAUGCCCGACACAAGCAGUUUGCAAAGAGACAAGGUUCAAGCCCAGGAUCAAUUGGCCCUGUUACUUUUGGAGCCUGUAGAGAGGCAGCACAUCCCGGUGGAGAGCGUGUGCCAGAGGGAAGCAACUUUCCUCGUGGAGAAGACACCAGGGUCCCCAAGUCCCCUUCCAAAGACCUAGCUUCCUCCCAGUGGGCCUCACCCCUUCAAGAGCCCACCAACCCACAGCAGCUUCAGGCUGGGAGCCAAGCCUUCAACAAAUAUCUUUAGAGAAGCAUUUAAGAUCCAGCCUCUAUCCCAGCACCCAAGCAUUCAAGAUCCAACCUCU